Molecule: ribosomal RNA, 355 nt
Filed under: uncultured bacterium
Lineage: Bacteria
Description: bacterial SSU rRNA
Rfam family: Bacterial small subunit ribosomal RNA
Source: RNAcentral
GUGAGUAGUUCAGAGUUUGAUCCUGGCUCAGGAUGAACGCUGGCGGCGUGCUUAACACAUGCAAGUCGAACGGAGUUUCUUGGAUAGAGGUUUCGGCCAAUUGAAAAGAAACUUAGUGGCGGACGGGUGAGUAACGCGUGAGGAACCUGCCUUGGAGUGGGGAAUAACACAGUGAAAAUUGUGCUAAUACCGCAUAAUGCAGUUGAGUCGCAUGGCUCUGACUGCCAAAGAUUUAUCGCUCUAAGAUGGCCUCGCGUCUGAUUAGCUAGUUGGUAGGGUAACGGCCUACCAAGGCGACGAUCAGUAGCCGGACUGAGAGGUUGGCCGGCCACAUUGGGACUGAGACACGGCCCAG